UGUGCAUCAGCCUAUAGGCACACUUCUGGGUAUACGUUGAACAAUGUCUAUAUAUUGUUCUUAGCAUACCAUUUCCAGGCACUGGGUAACUCGGUUGGUUGUCAUUUAUAUAGACAUUGUUCACCGUAUACCUGGAGGUGUCCUGUAGGCUGAUGUGUGCCUUGGCCUGGUAUGGAGAUCUAUUUGUGACUGUGUUGCCACACUGAUGUGCCCACAAGUAUGAAGGCUGUCGGAUGAACACUACCCGCUUGAAUACCGUUUAUAUGAACUUUUUGCGCUUAUACGAACUCUCAUGGGAAUGUCCGUUGGUUGGGUUGAAGAUUCAAAUAUUAUCUGCACGUCCAUGUGUAUGGUGUUUUGUGCUCUUGUUGAAGUCGUGUAUGUGUUUUGAAGUGCCAUGUGUUUUUGACCUACUAUGUGUUUGCCUAUGUGUAUAUUGUUACAGGUUGUUUUGUUACC
RNAcentral lists this long non-coding RNA (459 nucleotides) under Androctonus crassicauda. The record is from RNAcentral. Lineage: Eukaryota; Metazoa; Arthropoda; Arachnida; Scorpiones; Buthidae.